RNAcentral lists this long non-coding RNA (221 nucleotides) under Linum usitatissimum (flax). RNAcentral's name for it is "long non-coding RNA (LUSI_LNC008201)". Lineage: Eukaryota; Viridiplantae; Streptophyta; Magnoliopsida; Malpighiales; Linaceae. The record is from RNAcentral.
CAUUCCUAUAGUUAGAGAAUUUGAAUUGAUUGUUAAUAGAGAAUUCAAAAAUGAAAUGAAUUCUUUCAAAAUCCCCUCCCAAACUAGUGAUUUCAAUAAUUCAUCUUAAAAUCGGUAGGGACCCAUAAAAAUAAUUCAAGUAUCUAAUAUCCUUCUCCAAUUAAUUGUAAUCCAAACAAUUUAUUUAACGACAUCUUUAAUUUAGAAAUUUUAGGGUCCAA